RNAcentral lists this ribosomal RNA (818 nucleotides) under uncultured Campylobacteraceae bacterium. Its description in RNAcentral is "bacterial SSU rRNA". It matches the Rfam family "Bacterial small subunit ribosomal RNA", at positions 10 to 839 of the family's 1533-position model. Lineage: Bacteria; Pseudomonadati; Campylobacterota; Epsilonproteobacteria; Campylobacterales; Campylobacteraceae. The record is from RNAcentral.
AGUUGUAUCCUGGCUCAGAGUGAACGCUGGCGGCGUGCUUAACACAUGCAAGUCGAACGAGAACGGGUUAUAGUUUACUAUAACUGUCAGCUAAGUGGCGCACGGGUGAGUAAUAUAUAGGUAACGUGCCCUAGAGAAGAGGAUAACAAUUGGAAACGAUUGCUAAUACUCUAUAUGCCUUUAAGUCAUAAGACUGCAAGGGAAAUAUUUAUAGCUCUAGGAUCGGCCUGUACGGUAUCAGUUUGUUGGUGAGGUAAUGGCUCACCAAGACUAUGACGCCUAACUGGUUUGAGAGGAUGAUCAGUCACACUGGAACUGAGACACGGUCCAGACUCCUACGGGAGGCAGCAGUGGGGAAUAUUGCACAAUGGACGAAAGUCUGAUGCAGCAACGCCGCGUGGAGGAUGACACAUUUCGGUGCGUAAACUCCUUUUAUAUAGGAAGAUAAUGACGGUACUAUAUGAAUAAGCACCGGCUAACUCCGUGCCAGCAGCCGCGGUAAUACGGAGGGUGCAAGCGUUACUCGGAAUCACUGGGCGUAAAGAGCGUGUAGGCGGAUAGUUAAGUUUGAAGUGAAAUCCAAUGGCUCAACCAUUGAACUGCUUUGAAAACUGAUUAUCUAGAAUAUGGGAGAGGUAGAUGGAAUUUCUGGUGUAGGGGUAAAAUCCGUAGAGAUCAGAAGGAAUACCGAUUGCGAAGGCGAUCUACUGGAACAUUAUUGACGCUGAGACGCGAAAGCGUGGGGAGCAAACAGGAUUAGAUACCCUGGUAGUCCACGCCCUAAACGAUGUACACUAGUUGUUGUGAGGCUAGACCUU